CAAACUCUUACAGUACUCACUGCAAUCACCGAUACAUAUCUAUGACGAUUAAUAGUUAAUUACUAUCUAUAUUACAUUGCUUUGCUGCUUUCUACUGUGAUUUUUGUGCAAGGAUAGUUCCUCAUGCCGAGAAAAGAUUUAGGCUUCAUGUGGUGGCUUACGAUCAAACUGGAAAAUUGGAUGUUAUAAUCAGUGAUCGUGAGGUUUACGAGCCUCAUAGGUUCAUAGGUUACAGAGCUAGAGAUGUUAUACCGGAGGGAGCUCUUCCGGCUUUCUUUCCAAAUCAGUUGAGGCAGUUUACAGACAAACAUUCACAAUCAUGCUGCAAAUUUGUGAUGAGAACGUUAAGAAGAAUGUUAAAUUGUACUCGGCAACAAACAUCUGCAUGUGAUUCAAACGGGGUAACACAGUGGACUCAGGAAAAACAGAAGAACAAAGGGCAUCUACCAGUACUUGCCCAACUGAAACAACAACAUCGUACUAUCAUCUUCAAGGCGCUACAGAAGACAACUUAGACUCAUCAACCGUUACUCAGAAACAGUAAAAUGGCUGCAAAACUCUUUUGCUCUGUCCAUGAGUACAUGGGUGUAAUUUUAUUUGUGUCUGCACUAACAAACAACAGUCUGUAAUUUUAUCCAAAUAUGUAUUUGGAUUAACUUAUGUUAUCUUUUGUUAUCAGA
Daucus carota subsp. sativus is the source of this 680-nucleotide long non-coding RNA. RefSeq lists it as uncharacterized. The transcript has 3 exons. Lineage: Eukaryota; Viridiplantae; Streptophyta; Magnoliopsida; Apiales; Apiaceae. The record is from RefSeq and is a predicted model, not a curated record.